This is a long non-coding RNA of Oncorhynchus tshawytscha (Chinook salmon), 1767 nucleotides long. RefSeq lists it as uncharacterized. The transcript has 4 exons. NCBI's taxonomy places the organism in Eukaryota, Metazoa, Chordata, Actinopteri, Salmoniformes, Salmonidae. The record is from RefSeq and is a predicted model, not a curated record.
GCGGAAUACAACAGAUGAAGCAGACCUUAGUGAAAUGAUUACUUACAAAUAGGCUCUAAUCAAUAGUGCAAAAAAGGUAUUAGGUGAACAAUAGACAGGUUGGACUCUUUCUCAACUCUCACAAAACAAUGUAAUAACAUACAACAACAGUCGCACAAUAAGAGGGCAACAGCUAGGAAGAAGGUGAUGAAGACAGGUGUGGGAGAGGUGCUGCCCUUCAUCAAGUGGAUUGUGUACAGGAAAAUCAGGUGACCCGGUACGACAAACAGGAGCAGCACCUGUGCAGAGCGAUGAUUGGCUCCUGUCAGAGAUAAACCCUACUACAUACAACGCCAACCAAGUCUCCAUUCAAGACAAGCAUCUCAUGUCUACAACUGUCAAUCAUUCCCUGCCAUGUAUCAUCUCCAUUACCGGAAUCUAGAAAGACUUUUAAACUGAACUGCAUCUCUGCCUCCAGCUGCUCAGUAGAUGGGCAUCACUGUAACCCUCACCUAAACCUCAGUGUUUCCCUUGGGGACCCUUAUUAUUGGAGGACAUGUAGGAAAUGUAUAAAAGCACCCCGUGGUCAUGUUCAGGUGAGAGCUUUUUACUGUGAAUGUCCUUUGUGUGUACAGGUUGUAUGGUGUUGCUGGUGGUUUAUUUCUGCGAGGAACCAUUUUGUGACUAUGUUGUCUUGGAGAAAUGUUUGGGGUGUAGUCGAUUAUUCUGAAUGGUAUAUAUUGACUUUGACCAUCAGUGAGUUUUUCCCUGAGUGACAAUAUGUCCGAUUUUCAUUAUGUAAGGCCACUGCAAUCAUGGCCUUCUAUUUGAAGUCACUUUGCUUGGAGCGGCAUUGCUGGUUUGAGGUACAGGCUGUGCGUUGCUGGUUUGAGGUACAGGCUGUGCGUUGCUGGUUUGAGGUACAGGCUGUGCGUUGCUGGUUUGAGGUACAGGCUGUGCCCUCCAAAAAGGGCUCUGUCUAAGUAAAGUCAUUUCUAUUUCUACAAUAUCUAUUGUUUAUGUCAAUUCUGUGGUUAACUGUUCUUUCUUUUGUACCAUCAGAAGUACAGUAUUGUUUGUCACUGUUUUUGGUAAUCUUCUGAACUUGGUCAAUUGAAUUUCUGUGAAAGCACUCUUGUAUUUCAGAAAGCUGUCUAGUGGAAGUAACAGAUCUAUGAAGUCAUUUUGGUGUACUCUUGUUAAUGUGUGUUAUUUAUCUGUGUCAAACAAGCAAACCUAAUCCUCAGCUUUACUAAACUUUGCUUGUUCUUUAUCUGCCUCUGUAGUGUUUUCCUUUAAUGGGUCUAGAACCUGUGUCUAAUGUUUUUAGAUGUUACAAUUUCUCAGAACUUUUGCCCCAACCCAAUAGGUGGCCUGUCAUGAACCUGUGUGUCUUAUGUUCUGGUUUAGUUGUUCCCCUAAUGAAACAGUAACUGGGGUAGUCUUGAAGUUGUGCCAGUUUAGCUAACCCUAGUCGGCAGGUGUUACCACAAUAUGCUACAGUCAUGUCUGCAAAAACACUACAGUGAAUGCUAUAGUAUACUACACUCAUGUCUGCAAAAAAACACAACAGUGAAUACUAUAGUAUAUAAAUAUAAUACUACUGUAUUUAUACCAUAGUAUACUAUAGUAUUUUUUAAUGUGGGUUAGCUGUAAAUGUGUAAUAUGUUGGAAGUUUGAACUAGGACCCCUUUUUUUGUAUUCUCAUCAAAUUUCUAAAUGCAUUGUAUCCACAUUUGUGCUUAUAUUGUGUUUUUAAAUAGUCAAAUAAAAAAGUAAUUCAAGGGA